Molecule: ribosomal RNA, 439 nt
Filed under: uncultured bacterium
Lineage: Bacteria
Description: bacterial SSU rRNA
Rfam family: Bacterial small subunit ribosomal RNA
Source: RNAcentral
GAUGAACGCUGGCGGCGUGCUUAACACAUGCAAGUCGAACGGGAUCCAUCAGGCUUUGCUUGGUGGUGAGAGUGGCGAACGGGUGAGUAAUGCGUGACCGACCUGCCCCAUACACCGGAAUAGCUCCUGGAAACGGGUGGUAAUGCCGGAUGCUCCAGUUGAUCGCAUGGUCUUCUGGGAAAGCUUUCGCGGUAUGGGAUGGGGUCGCGUCCUAUCAGCUUGACGGCGGGGUAACGGCCCACCGUGGCUUCGACGGGUAGCCGGCCUGAGAGGGCGACCGGCCACAUUGGGACUGAGAUACGGCCCAGACUCCUACGGGAGGCAGCAGUGGGGAAUAUUGCACAAUGGGCGCAAGCCUGAUGCAGCGACGCCGCGUGAGGGAUGGAGGCCUUCGGGUUGUAAACCUCUUUUAUCGGGGAGCAAGCGAGAGUGAGUUACC